Molecule: long non-coding RNA, 1094 nt
Organism: Prinia subflava (tawny-flanked prinia)
Lineage: Eukaryota; Metazoa; Chordata; Aves; Passeriformes; Cisticolidae
Exons: 3
Source: RefSeq, a predicted model, not a curated record
GAAGGCAAGAACAGAGCAGCUGGGCUAGAGAUUGCAGCACCCUCCGGAAUGGGAGCCCAGCUGCUGGAGGACCUUGGGUCUCACACCUCUUCCUCCUAGAUGGGCAAACCCAGAAUAUUUGCUGAAUUGAAAUCUGGCAGCUAUAUCCCACUCCUGAAAAACACCUAAGCAGCACCAUGCAGAGACAGAGAGGAAGGACAAGGUAACCUGAACCAUGCCAUGCACUCCGAGAAUUCCCUACCCAGUGCCAGCACAGCAAAACCACCACCUCUGAGAUGGGGUCACUCAGGUGGGGCAAUGACAGCUGCUCCCAGAGAAGGACUUGACAGCACUUCUGGAAGACAGGACAAGCAGAAACCUUGUCAGCAGACUGCCUGAACUCUGUUUUCCUGGGAGGGUGCUCAUCCUGCUGAGCAUGGCAAGGCCCAUACAACACCAGCCAGAGGAACCACGGACUGAGAGCCUCAAGGGUAUCCUUGCUAAUCUGGCCAAAAGUCUUGAGCUGCCUGGAGCCUCCAGCUCUCAUGAAGAAUAAAUAUUAAAUAACUAUAAUAUUGCCCAUCGACUUGGCACCUAGAGCUCAAAGGACAGGCCCUCAAGGAAUUAAAAAGCUGUGACAUGCUGAACCUACCACAAGCUGUGGGAUGGACCAGAGCUCCCACUGGACAUGGUGUCUUCUGCCCAGCAUUGAAGUGCUCAGCAGUAACUUCUCCUUUGGAUGGGGACCAGAUUUGCAGGAACAAACAAUGCUGUUAUCUCCCAAGCCAACCUCAGGUCCAUAACCCGCCCAUCUUGAAGACCACCUCCAUCAGCUCUGAGUUAACACAUGACACUGGAGAGUCAUGACCAGGCAAUGACAGGAGAGUGAUGACUCGCCAAGGUCAGGGACACGGUAACAAAUCCGUGUCCUCCCUUUCCUCUGGUUUCUAUUUCCAAGGAGUCAGCUCCCAUGUGUCUGCAGUGUGAUUUACAGCUAAGCUGUGGUGGGGACUAUGCAGCAAAAACCAAGGACUCUCUCCUUUGGUAGCCACCUGGGCUUCUUGCACAGCUGCUUCUGCUGACCCAUCAUGUGUAUUUGCAAAAAUAAAACACAA